Molecule: ribosomal RNA, 492 nt
Filed under: uncultured bacterium
Lineage: Bacteria
Description: partial 16S ribosomal RNA
Rfam family: Bacterial small subunit ribosomal RNA
Source: RNAcentral
AGUGAACGCUGGCGGUAGGCCUAACACAUGCAAGUCGAACGGCAGCACAGUAAGAGCUUGCUCUUACGGGUGGCGAGUGGCGGACGGGUGAGGAAUACAUCGGAAUCUACUUUUUCGUGGGGGAUAACGUAGGGAAACUUACGCUAAUACCGCAUACGACCUACGGGUGAAAGCAGGGGAUCUUCGGACCUUGCGCGAUUGAAUGAGCCGAUGUCGGAUUAGCUAGUUGGCGGGGUAAAGGCCUACCAAGGUGACGAUCCGUAGCUGGUCUGAGAGGAUGAUCAGCCACACUGGAACUGAGACACGGUCCAGACUCCUACGGGAGGCAGCAGUGGGGAAUAUUGGACAAUGGGCGCAAGCCUGAUCCAGCCAUACCGCGUGGGUGAAGAAGGCCUUCGGGUUGUAAAGCCCUUUUGUUGGGAAAGAAAAGCAGCAGGUUAAUACCCCGCUGUUCUGACGGUACCCAAAGAAUAAGCACCGGCUAACUUCGUG